GACGAACGCUGGCGGCGUGCCUAAUACAUGCAAGUAGAACGCAGUUGCGAACGGGUGAGUAACGCGUAGGUAACCUGCCUCAUAGCGGGGGAUAACUCUUGGAAACGAUAGCUAAUACCGCAUACUGUGAGAUGGACCUGCGUUGUAUUAGCUAGUUGGUGAGGUAAAGCCUCACCACGGCGACGAUACAUAGCCGACCUGAGAGGGUGAUCGGCCACACGGGGACUGAGAAACGGCCCAGACUCUUAGGUGAGGCAGAAGGAGGGAAGCUUCGGAAAGGGACGAAAGUCUGACCGAGCAACGCCGCGUGAUGGAAGAGGGUUUCCGGAUCGUAAAACUCUGUUGUUAGAUAAGCGGUAUCUAACCAGAAAGCCACGGCUAACUACGUGCCAGCAGCCGCGGUAAUAC
RNAcentral lists this ribosomal RNA (408 nucleotides) under uncultured bacterium. Its description in RNAcentral is "partial 16S ribosomal RNA". It matches the Rfam family "Bacterial small subunit ribosomal RNA", at positions 28 to 526 of the family's 1533-position model. The record is from RNAcentral.